CCCUUAGAUGUUCUGGGAUGCACGCGCGUUACACUGAUUCGUUCAACGAGUUUAUGACCUUGCCUGAUGAGGUGGGGGAAUCUUUUCAAAUCGCAUCGUGAUGGGGAUAGAGUAUUGUAACUGUUAGUCUUCAACGAGGAAUUCCUAGUAAGUACGUGUCAUCAGCUCGUACUGAUUAUGUCCCUGCCCUUUGUACACACCGCCCGUCGCUCCUACCGAUUGAGUGCUCAGGUGAAUAGUAUGGACUGCAUCAGUGUUCGGUCGCCGAAUGUUGACGCGAGAAAUUCUGUGAAUCUUAUUGCUUAGAGGAAGGAGAAGUCGUANCA
RNAcentral lists this ribosomal RNA (326 nucleotides) under uncultured eukaryote. RNAcentral describes it as "partial 18S ribosomal RNA". It matches the Rfam family "Eukaryotic small subunit ribosomal RNA", at positions 1470 to 1796 of the family's 1831-position model. The record is from RNAcentral.